Molecule: ribosomal RNA, 406 nt
Filed under: uncultured bacterium
Lineage: Bacteria
Description: partial 16S ribosomal RNA
Rfam family: Bacterial small subunit ribosomal RNA
Source: RNAcentral
AUUGAACGCUGGCGGCAGGCCUAACACAUGCAAGUCGAACGAGUGGCGGACGGGUGAGUAAUGUCUGGGAACCUGGCUGAUGGAGGGGGAAAACUACUGGAAACGGUAGCUAAUACCGCAUACCAUCGGAUGUGCCCAGAUGGGAUUAGCUAGUCGGUGGGGUAAAGGCGAACCUAGGCGACGAUCCCUAGCUGGUCUGAGAGGAUGACCAGCCACACUGGAACUGAGACACGGUCCAGACUCCUACGGGAGGCAGCAGUAGGGAAUAUUGCACAAUGGGCGCAAGCCUGAUGCAGCCAUGCCGCGUGGAUGAAGAAGGCCUUCGGGUUGUAAAGUACUUUCAGCGGGGAGGCGUUACCCGCAGAGAAAGCACCGGCUAACUCCGUGCCAGCCGCCGCGGUAAUAC